UUUGCUCACAGUGGCCCUAAAUCUUCUUUCCUAACUAUCCCAAUCGUAUAACCAUGGAGUUGUCAAAUGAGAGCAAAGUGAGUACCUGCCUUGUAGUGAAGAAUAAAGGAGCAUGCAUGGAAUUGAGGACAUUGCCCAGGGCAUGGAAGAACUCAGAAUUAUCUUUCUCAUACCUUUUUAAAUAUUCUUAUAUCAAGUUUCAGCAAACUUUUUCUUUAAAUAAGGAGGUGUAUGCGCAAGGCUGAAACGCCUCAGUAUCUAAGUACCUCCCCCUCCCCUUCAGUCUGUACUGCCACAGUGCAGACAGGGGGAUUGGAAACAGCCACGGGGAAAAGAUUGCACCUUAUUGAUUCACUGUUGUGUGUCUAGUACCUAGACUAAUUUCUAGACCAAAUUAGGUGCUCAACAACAUUUGUUGAAUGAUUAAAGGAGUUAAAGAGAAAGAAAACUUUGUCACUUGAAGUAGUUAUAAAGGUAGGCCUGGGCUCCACUAUUAUUGAAAGGAGGCAAGGAAAUG
RNAcentral lists this long non-coding RNA (517 nucleotides) under Pan troglodytes (chimpanzee). RNAcentral's name for it is "long non-coding RNA NONPTRT000718". Lineage: Eukaryota; Metazoa; Chordata; Mammalia; Primates; Hominidae. The record is from RNAcentral.